Molecule: microRNA precursor, 75 nt
Filed under: Schistosoma mansoni
Lineage: Eukaryota; Metazoa; Platyhelminthes; Trematoda; Strigeidida; Schistosomatidae
Description: microRNA sma-mir-125b precursor
Gene: sma-mir-125b
Source: miRBase by way of RNAcentral
AUCCCUGAGACUGAUAAUUGCUCUUUUUAUCAUGAUAAGGGAGUUUGAUGAGAGCAAUUAUUACUCUCAGGUGUA